This is a long non-coding RNA of Trifolium pratense (red clover), 537 nucleotides long. RefSeq lists it as uncharacterized. The transcript has 3 exons. NCBI's taxonomy places the organism in Eukaryota, Viridiplantae, Streptophyta, Magnoliopsida, Fabales, Fabaceae. The record is from RefSeq and is a predicted model, not a curated record.
GAGGAAAAAAAAAAUGGCUAAAAUUAUCAAGUUUGUGUAUGAUAUAAUACUAUUUUUUUUCAUAUUUAUUCUUUCGACGGAAGGACUUAAUUUACCUAUGGUAUGUGACAUAGAUGCCGAUUGUCCGAAGUCUGAAGACUACUAUUAUGAGUUAAUGUGCAUUCUUCACAAAUGUAUAUUUGUUUUCAAACUAGACCCAGAGCCCGGUUUGGGAAGGAUAAUACACUAGCUUAUAGUUUAUAAGUUAAAAGCUCGGCUUGGAGGAAGUAAUAAACUUCUUUGCUCCCGUUUUGAUGGAUGUCCGGAUAAUGAUAUGGCGUGUUGCAUGGAUUGUUCAAAUAGUGGCUAUCGUGGCCAAUGUUAUGGAGAUUUUUGUUGUUGUGAUGACUCACUCAACCCUAUGCUAGACAUACUAUGUUUUGAAAAGCCAGUGUGAAAUAAUAAAUACAAUAAUUUUGGUUUAAAAUAUCUUGUUAUAUGCUUCCUCUCUUUCAAUAUGUGUAAAAGAGCUUAUGCAAAAUUCUGUUGUCCUAUUUA